UAGAAAAUUUUAAAACAAAGGAAAAAGUGAAGAAAAAUAAAUGAAAGCACAUAGAAAAAAGAAGAAAAAUUUGAAAGGAGAAAAAGUUAAUGAAAAAUUAUAAAAAUGCAAUAGAAAAUAACCAAGAAUGAUAAAAGAAAAAAAGUUAGAAAAAUAAAAAAUUCCAAAACUUUAUAAAAAUUUAUGAAACUAUAAACAAAGAAAGAAAAUAAAAAACAAAAAGAUAAAAGAUAAAUAAAGCACAAAAAAACAAAAAUACAACAAAAAAUAUAAAAAGUAAGAAAAUAAAAAAGGGCAAAAAUUGAAUAAAAAUUUCAAAAUUGAAAUGGAAUGACAAAAUGAAAAAAAAUAGUUUAAAAAAUACAAAAAAUUGAAAAACAUAUAAGACCUAACAAUAUAAAAAGUCAGACAAAAAAUUAAAAAAGAGAAAAGUUAAUGCAAAAUAAAAAAGUAUGAGAAUUUAAAAGCGCAAAUAAGAAAUGAAAGGAAAUUUGUGGGAAAAAAAUAGAAUAGCAAGAAAAGAAUAAAAAUAAAAAGACAAAAGAUUUGGAAUAAAAAAACAAAACAACAAAAAAAUUAAAACAAGUAAAAAUGAAAGCAUAUGAAAAAAAAAAGCAAGAAGAAGGAAAUUUGUGAAGGGAAAAAGUUAUUAAAAAAUUACAAAGUAGAAAAAAAUAAGAAAAUAAAAAAGAUUCAAAAAAUAAAAAAAUUGAACUUUAUAAAAAAUUUUUAAAAUAUAAAUAAAAAAUAAAUGAAAAAAUAAAUUAAGAGAAAAAAUUAAAUAAAAUACCAAAAAAGGAAAAAAUAAAAAUAAACAAAAAUAAAAAGUAACAAAGUAAGAAAAUAAAAAAUUAGCGAAUCAAAAAAAUAUAAUGAAACAAAAUGAAUAAAAAUUUCAAAAUAUAAAAUGGAAAAAACUUUUAGUUUAGAAUGUACAAAGAAAAACAAAAGAAAAAAGAUAUAAAAUAUGAAAGAUGAAAAACAAAAUAAAAGUUAAUAAAAAAUAUAAAUAAAAAUAAAAGAAAGUGACAAAAAAAGAAGUUUGAGGUUUUAAAAUUAUAAAGAAGAAAUAAAAAAAAAGCAAGAAAAAAAUAAAAAAGGAAAAUACAAAAUACAUAAUAGAUAAUACAUAAAAUAAAUUUUGACAAAAAAAUGAGAAAAAGAAGAAAAAAAUAAAAAAUGAAGAGGCAAAAAUAUGAAAGAAAAGAAAAAGAAAAAAAUUUAUGGAAACUUUUAAAACAAAGGAAAAAGUGAACAAAAAAAAAUGAAAGCACAUAAAAAAAAGAAUAAAAAUUUGAAAGGGGAAAAAGUUAAUGAAAAAUUAUAAAAAUGCAAUAGAAAAUAACCAAGAAUGAUAAAAGAAAAAAAGAUAGAAAAAUAAAAAAUUCCAAAACUUUAUAAAAAUUUAUGAAACUAUAAACAAAGAAAGAAAAUAAAAAAUAAAAAUAGAAAAAGAUAAAUAAAGCACAAAAAAACAAAAAUACAACAAAAAAUAUAAAAAGGACAAAAAUUGAAUAAAAAUUUCAAAAAUGAAAUGGAAUGACAAAAUGAAAAAAAAAUAGUUUAAAAAAUACAAAAAAUUGAAAAACAUAUAAGACCUAACAAUAUAAAAAGUCGGACAAAAAAUUAAAAAAGAGAAAAGUUAAUGCAAAAUAAAAAAAGUAUGAGAAUUUAAAAACGCAAAUAAGAAACGAAAGGAAAUUUAUAGGAAAAAAAAGAAAAGCAAGAAAAGAAUAAAAAUGAAAAGACAAAAGAUUUGCAAUAAAAAAUAGAAAAAUAAAAUAUUUAAAAUAACGAAGAAAUUAAAACAAGUAAAAAUGAAAGCAUACGAAAAAAAAGAAAGAAGAAAGAAAAUUGUGAAGGGAAAAAGUUAUUAAAAAAUUACAAAGUAGAAAAAAAUAAGAAAAUAAAAAAAUAAAAACAAAAAAUUUUGAACUUUAUAAAAAUGUUUUAAAAUAUAAAU
This 1963-nucleotide long non-coding RNA is filed under the name Durio zibethinus. RNAcentral's name for it is "long non-coding RNA (DZIB_LNC001930)". Lineage: Eukaryota; Viridiplantae; Streptophyta; Magnoliopsida; Malvales; Malvaceae. The record is from RNAcentral.